GGCCAUGCAAAGCCUGGUCAGAAAAGAGACCAUAGUGCAAACUGCAGGACAGGGCACCUCUGAUUCCUUUAAAAUUAACAAGAAACCAACAGCUGAGAAAAGUGGGAGGAUAAGAGCAAAGAGGAAAAUGGAUGCAGAAAAAAAGUCAGCAAGCAAAAGGCCUAAACCAGCAAGAAAACAUAAUAAAGCAGGGCAAAAACAGCAACUGAAAAGGGCCACAACUGCAGUUCUGAGCCC
Molecule: long non-coding RNA, 237 nt
Organism: Pygocentrus nattereri (red-bellied piranha)
Lineage: Eukaryota; Metazoa; Chordata; Actinopteri; Characiformes; Serrasalmidae
Exons: 2
Source: RefSeq, a predicted model, not a curated record